GCCCAGGUGGCGGAAUUGGUAGACGCACUCGUUUCAGGGGCGAGCGCCGAAAGGCAUGAAAGUUCGAUUCUUUUCCUGGGCACCA
RNAcentral lists this transfer RNA (85 nucleotides) under Deltaproteobacteria bacterium. RNAcentral's name for it is "tRNA-Leu". It matches the Rfam family "tRNA". Rfam says of the family: Transfer RNA (tRNA) molecules are approximately 80 nucleotides in length. Their secondary structure includes four short double-helical elements and three loops (D, anti-codon, and T loops). Further hydrogen bonds mediate the characteristic L-shaped molecular structure. tRNAs have two regions of fundamental functional importance: the anti-codon, which is responsible for specific mRNA codon recognition, and the 3' end, to which the tRNAs corresponding amino acid is attached (by aminoacyl-tRNA synthetases). tRNAs cope with the degeneracy of the genetic code in two manners: having more than one tRNA (with a specific anti-codon) for a particular amino acid; and 'wobble' base-pairing, i.e. permitting non-standard base-pairing at the 3rd anti-codon position. Lineage: Bacteria; Pseudomonadati; Myxococcota; Myxococcia. The record is from RNAcentral.